UACGUAGGUGGCAAGCGUUGUCCGGAUUUACUGGGCGUAAAGCGCGCGCAGGCGGUCCGGUAAGUCUCCGGUGAAAUCGCCCGGCUCAACUGGGCGGGUGCCGGGGAGACUGGCGGACUUGAGGAGCCUAGAGGCCGGUGGAACUCCCGGUGUAGUGGUGAAAUGCGUAGAGAUCGGGAAGAACACCAGUGGCGAAGGCGGCCGGCUGGGGGUGUCCUGACGCUGAGGCGCGAGAGCGUGGGGAGCAAACCGG
This 253-nucleotide ribosomal RNA is filed under the name uncultured bacterium. RNAcentral's name for it is "partial 16S ribosomal RNA". It matches the Rfam family "Bacterial small subunit ribosomal RNA", at positions 524 to 776 of the family's 1533-position model. The record is from RNAcentral.